This 1470-nucleotide ribosomal RNA is filed under the name Halorubrum sp. Its description in RNAcentral is "bacterial SSU rRNA". It matches the Rfam family "Archaeal small subunit ribosomal RNA". The record is from RNAcentral. Lineage: Archaea; Methanobacteriati; Methanobacteriota; Halobacteria; Halobacteriales; Haloferacaceae.
AUUCCGGUUGAUCCUGCCGGAGGCCAUUGCUAUUGGGAUCCGAUUUAGCCAUGCUAGUCGUACGAGUUCAUACUCGUGGCGAAUAGCUCAGUAACACGUGGCCAAACUACCCUUCGGAGCACAAUACCCUCGGGAAACUGAGGCUAAUAGUACAUACCAUACCACCACUGGAAUGAGUGGUAUGCCAAACGCUCCGGCGCCGAAGGAUGUGGCUGCGGCCGAUUAGGUAGACGGUGGGGUAACGGCCCACCGUGCCAAUAAUCGGUAUGGGUCAUGAGAGUGAGAACCCAGAGACGGAAUCUGAGACAAGAUUCCGGGCCCUACGGGGCGCAGCAGGCGCGAAACCUUUACACUGCACGACAGUGCGAUAGGGGGAUCCCAAGUGCACAGGCAUAGCGCCUGUGCUUUUCGGUACCCUAAGGCGGUACCAGAAUAAGGGCUGGGCAAGACCGGUGCCAGCCGCCGCGGUAAUACCGGCAGCCCAAGUGAUGGCCGAUCUUAUUGGGCCUAAAGCGUCCGUAGCUGGCCACGCAAGUCCAUCGGGAAAUCCACCUGCCCAACAGGUGGGCGCCCGGUAGAAACUGCGUGGCUUGGGACCGGAAGGCGCGACGGGUACGUCCGGGGUAGGAGUGAAAUCCCGUAAUCCUGGACGGACCGCCGAUGGCGAAAGCACGUCGCGAGAACGGAUCCGACAGUGAGGGACGAAAGCCAGGGUCUCGAACCGGAUUAGAUACCCGGGUAGUCCUGGCCGUAAACAAUGUCUGCUAGGUGUGGCUCCCACUACGAGUGGGUGCUGUGCCGUAGGGAAGCCGCUAAGCAGACCGCCUGGGAAGUACGUCCGCAAGGAUGAAACUUAAAGGAAUUGGCGGGGGAGCACUACAACCGGAGGAGCCUGCGGUUUAAUUGGACUCAACGCCGGACAUCUCACCAGCAUCGACUGUGAUAAUGACGACCAGGUUGAUGACCUUGUCCGAGUCUCAGAGAGGAGGUGCAUGGCCGCCGUCAGCUCGUACCGUGAGGCGUCCUGUUAAGUCAGGCAACGAGCGAGACCCGCACUCUUACUUGCCAGCAGUAUCGCGAGAUAGCUGGGAACAGUAGGAGGACCGCCGUGGCUAACACGGAGGAAGGAACGGGCAACGGUAGGUCAGUAUGCCCCGAAUGUGCUGGGCAACACGCGGGCUACAAUGGUCGAGACAAAGGGUUCCAACUCCGAAAGGAGACGGUAAUCUCAGAAACUCGAUCGUAGUUCGGAUUGUGGGCUGCAACUCGCCCACAUGAAGCUGGAUUCGGUAGUAAUCGCGUGUCACAAGCGCGCGGUGAAUACGUCCCUGCUCCUUGCACACACCGCCCGUCAAAGCACCCGAGUGAGGUCCGGAUGAGGCGCGCCACGCGCGUCGAAUCUGGGCUUCGCAAGGGGGCUUAAGUCGUAACAAGGUAGCCGUAGGGGAAUCUGCGGCUGGAUCACCUCCU